This is a long non-coding RNA of Mastomys coucha (southern multimammate mouse), 1181 nucleotides long. RefSeq lists it as uncharacterized. Lineage: Eukaryota; Metazoa; Chordata; Mammalia; Rodentia; Muridae. The transcript is spliced from 4 exons. The record is from RefSeq and is a predicted model, not a curated record.
GAGUCCAUCGAGGGGUCAAGUACUUAACCCAGGGCGCACAACUGGUUGGGCUGUGGGGCUCUGUGUCUAAGAAAAGAGCUGGCCGCAGUUACUCGGCUCUGCCUCCAGGGGGCACUCCCGGCUCGGAGCGCUGCCCAGACCUCUCUAACAGCUGUUGCCAAUUUGCCCUUAGAAAAGGCUUAUCUAAACCCCUUUCUUUCAUCCUGUACAAACCCCACCGUAUAAUUAGACUUCUCAAAAUAUGCUCUCUGAGUGGGAGUGAGGCAACGGGGCCGCGGGCUUCUCCCGUUUCACGAGCAGUCUCUAUGGAAUUAACUCCUGGAGCGGAGAGUCACGAGCCACCCCUGCUCCAGCUGGACCCGCGCCUGGCUCAGGCUCACACAGCUUAGGUCAGCUCAGCUCCUGGGACUUAGCAAGUGGCUCAGGGCCUCCUGGGGGACUGGGACCCACCCGGCGUCUUCAGCAUACUCUCAGAUUAGCGGUUCAUGUGAUCUUCCAGGGGAAGGACUUGGGGACACAGGAAGGACCCAGAGGUUGCAGGGGAGGAGGAAAGGCCAGGACCCCCUGGCAGUCAGGGCACCAUGUGCCACCACUUGAAGGCGAAGGGCUUCCUGCGCACGUUGGUGCCACAAUGAACCUCUCCCAGGAACUUGUGGGAUCAUGGAGGGAUAGUCAGAGGUCAGCCCCAACGAGGCGUUGGCUCAGCUCCAGCGGGCCCUGCUCCAGAGAGUGGCUGGGUUGUACCAACUUCUCUGACCUUUAGCCACGAGGGUACCCGUGCAUACGGAACAACAGAGCUAGCACCUGUGACGCCCUGAUCAGCCUGUGCCUGAAAUCCACGCAACCACAGGGCUUUGAACAAACUCCACCCAACCCUGACCAAGGACUCCUGCCCCUUCCCUCAUUUCCAUUGCCUGACUCAGUUGCUCACUGUGACCCACAACCUGAUGGCAAGUUCAGGGCAGAUUCUAAAGAUAAAGCACGCCAUGUCUAGACAAACAACUCCGGGAGAGAGAAACUUCGGGUUUGCACAUAAUCAUAACCGGAGUUAAGUUGCACUUAACUUCCCUCUCACUUCACCUCCUAUAUAAAUCCCAAGAACGCCGUCCUCCUUCCGCAGACAACCCUUUCCUGUUGUGUCUGCCCUCACCGUUUUAAGUAAACAGUCCAGUCUGUUGAGG